Ailuropoda melanoleuca (giant panda) is the source of this 96-nucleotide small nuclear RNA. The record is from Ensembl. Lineage: Eukaryota; Metazoa; Chordata; Mammalia; Carnivora; Ursidae.
AAUAUUUAGCACAUCAUUAAAAUUGGAAUAAUACAGAGAAGACCAGCAUGGCCCCUGCACAAUGACAUGCAAAUUCAAGAAGAAUUCCAUAUUAAU